RNAcentral lists this unclassified non-coding RNA (275 nucleotides) under uncultured fungus. Its description in RNAcentral is "sequence contains ITS1, 5.8S rRNA gene". The stretch from base 227 to 275 matches the Rfam family "5.8S ribosomal RNA", at positions 1 to 49 of the family's 154-position model. Lineage: Eukaryota; Fungi. The record is from RNAcentral.
UCUCCGUUGGUGAACCAGCGGAGGGAUCAUUGCUGGAAGCGUCUCACGGCGCACCCAGAUACCCUUUGUGAACCAUACCUCUCUGUUGCCUCGGCGCAGGCUGGGAGCUUCUGUAAACUCCCCCACGCGGACUCGCCUCCGCGCGGAGCAGGCCCGCCGGCGGCCCUUCUAAACUCUUGUUUUUAUUACGUAUCUCUUCUGAGUUAUUCAAAACAAAAUGAAUCAAAACUUUCAACAACGGAUCUCUUGGUUCUGGCAUCGAUGAAGAACGCAGC